RNAcentral lists this long non-coding RNA (3071 nucleotides) under Homo sapiens (human). RNAcentral describes it as "HSALNT0118683". Lineage: Eukaryota; Metazoa; Chordata; Mammalia; Primates; Hominidae. The record is from RNAcentral.
GAGGAGAAGCCCGCGGCGCAGUCUAUGGCCUCCUAGGGGGAAGGGCCUUGAGGUCCCUGUCCUUCUCCUAACAGGCGGCGACGCAGCCAUGGCCUUGCUGUCGUGGGAGUCCCAGACAGGGUAGGAAGGAGGGCCAUAGAAAGGAGGAGGGCCGAGUGAACAUGGAGUUUUGAAGGGGGAAACCAUUUGUGGUAUUUGAGUCCCGGAGGCAUAUGAAACCGCCCACAGAAGACACAUUCCAAAGUCUUCAGUGGGAACCUGGGAGAGGGCAGAGGACUGCGCGGCGCUGGAUGGGGUAGAGCGAGGAGGGUCGAGGAGGGGCGCCACAGCCCACAGAGCAGGCACCGACCUCACUGCGCAUGUGCCCUGGGCGUCUUCCCGUCGGCCCCUUUGCCCACGUGGUGAACGCGGCGGAGCUGUGAGGGUGUGAGGGUCGCGCUCCUGCUGUCUGGACUUUUUCUGUCCUACUGAGACACGGCCGACAUGAGAUGAUGAACCUCAAGUACCACCCCAGACAACAAGGCUGCUUCAUCAGGACACAAACCUGCCUGUACCAGGACCUCUGACCUGUGUGCAGCAGAAGGAGUGGGUCAACAUAGCUUCUGAAGAGCAUUCAUUGGAGUGAAUCUGCCAUUUAUUGGCUGUUCUUCAAACCAUAAGACUGAUAUUGAUGGUCAGCUUACAGAGGUAUGCUCUCUACAGGUAACCAUCUAAGCAUUUUAAAUUCAUGGAAAUAUUUAAUCUUCACAUUAUGCCUAUAAGGAACUGCAUAUUGAGUCUUGAAAGUAUCUAGUACAUGUACUGGAGGAACUCCAAUAUUUAAAACCAAAGAAGAAAUCUGAUGAAGGAGACUAAAAGGAAGCCUCUAGAUGAAGAAGAAAAAUGAAGAGAACAUUAUUACAUGGGAGCUAAGAAAAGAGACUGUCGCAAAAAAUAGGAGUUUGAUCUUCUUGAUGAACAUUAUAAUCAUUUUGUCAGGAUUUGGUCCAGAAUUGGAUUACUUUUAUAAAUACUGCCAAGACGAUGAUAACCUGUAUUUAGCUUAAUGUAAGGAUAUCAUAGAAAUGUCUGACAAAUGUCUGUAUGCAUUCAUGUUCAUUAUGCACUUCCUCAUGGAUUCUUCUGGAUGAUUAUAAUUAUUUAAAUUAUUGAGCUGGAUGCUUAGUUUAGUAUUCAUUUUCUCUUUAUCCUCACAGGCAAAAUACAAUAUACUUUCGUCAUGUUUGAUGUUUACUGAUCAUUUAAUAUUUUGUUAGCAGUAUAUUAAUAUAAUUUUUUAUUGCAUUUCUUCAAACUUAGUAUUUACUUAAAAUACUUUUUAUAUUUGUAAUAUGGCCCCAAAUUCUCUAAUUAUGUUUUCUUUUAAUUAUUUGUUCAGUUCAGCUCUCUGGGGCUGGUUUAAAUACAUCGAAGAGCUAAUCUAGAAAAGGAUGCCCUGAAGAAUAUAAGGAAAAAGUGAAAUUUUUCCAGAGAAAGGAGGGAACAUACCAAUAAUAUCUAAAAAUCUGCAUAGGGCCUUUGUCACUGUUCUGUGCUUGUUUAGUGGAUUUCAUUUCAAUUUGUGUUGUAAAGAGAGAAUGGCAUGGUAAAUUUCUGCCUAAAGAAUUUAUUGAUUGUUUUCUUUUAAAAGUAGUCUAUAGACCCUAGAUGAUAAAGUAUAUUCCCUGUAGGAUGUAAGUAUUGAUAAGUUACUGCAUAAUGCUAUUUGGAGCUUGAGUAGAUUAGCAAAGACAUAAUUAAUUUUGUCAGGAAACAUAACAGGUAGUCACAGUAUCUUAAAAAGAAUUGUUUUUAUUUGUAUAAAGCAUUAUUUUAUGUUAACUGGAAUAUGAGAUUUAAAAAGAAGAAGCAGAAAAAUAACUGUAGACAUGAAAAGAGAAAAAACAUAUUUGUAUAGUUGUAGCAUAAAGGUUGAGGUAUCCUAUAUUGUCUUUGCUUGAUUGUGAAUAUUACACAAAGUGCAAAGACAUGUCUUGUGUAAAAACUUCUAAAUUCCUACUGGCACAUGCACUUUAGCAGAUACAUAAAUUCCAUCUCAUUUUAUCUGCAAUGUCUAUUCCAUCUCUGUAGACAGGCAGAGCAAAGCUUAUUAUAGUUCACCCUUGUUAAUACGUUUUACCUUUCUUAAUUUUUAAAUAGCAUGCUGACAAAGACUCUUUCACUAAUAGUCUCUCACUGAUAAGACCCUCGAGCCCUCUUGUUGAAUUGGCCUUGGUCUUGGCCUUUCAUGUUUAUCCUGUCUUUGCCAGGCCUGCAUAUCCCAAAUUUAGAAAGAAUCCUGCCAAAUCAGCUUAGUAAUAGUCCCUCUACCUUUGAUAUCUAAUCACCCUUGACAUUUGAACAAGUUCCUCAUCUCCAUCAUUGAUUUAUAAGUACUUGGCUUAUCUUUAGCAAGAAUCUUACUGGGUCACUUUAGCAAGAAUUCCCCUUCCCUUGAUGUCUCUUCUUAGUAAUUUUCCAUCCACAGAUCCCUCACUUUGCACAUUGGUCAUAAAUCCCCACUUGUCCUUAUUGUAUUCAGAGUUGAGCCUGAUCUCUCUGCCUUGUUGCAAUAGUCUCUAAUGAAGUCACCAUUACUGUUUUAAAAAGUAUUAGAGUAAUUUUUUCUUUAACAGUGCUUGGUUAUUAAAAUGACAGUAAAAAGAAUUUAAAAUUAAACAUCUUAAAAUAGGUCUUUGAAGGUAAUAAUCAAACUAAAUAAUUGUUCAAAGGAGAAGUAAUGAAUAAGCUGCAUUUUUUUCAUCCAGCAGUACUCAAUAUACUAUACUGUGAACUCUCAUGGUCUGUUUCUUUACUAAUAUAGUCUAUCAUGCUUUGGAUGUGUGUGAAGAUUCAUAUAUGUGAAGUUCUGUUCAUGUGGAUGUUUGAUAAGAAGCAACUCUUCUCAUUUCAAUAAAGAAAAAAUAUAAAUGGAAACCACUGAGUUGUGAACGUUGGAAAACUGCAGGGAGGAAAUAUAUAAUUUCCUCUCCCCAUGUUAGGUUCAUGAGUGAGGCCCCUAUAAGAAAACACAAGUUAACAAAAGAAAAGCAUACAGAUUUAUUGAAUAUGUUUUACAUGCAUGAGAGCCU